Non-coding RNA from Ictidomys tridecemlineatus (thirteen-lined ground squirrel), 509 nucleotides. The record is from RefSeq and is a predicted model, not a curated record. NCBI's taxonomy places the organism in Eukaryota, Metazoa, Chordata, Mammalia, Rodentia, Sciuridae.
CAACAUUCUCUAGAACUCAUGCCAAGAACAAAAGAACCCUGCAUGCUCCAACUUCAGAACCUGAACUGGGCUUCCAAGUGCAGGCGGCCCGCCUCUGAACAGUGUUUACUUCACUAUUUAAACUGCAUCUCUGUUCCCAGCAGUGUUUCCAAGGCCUCUAGAGUGCUGAGGACAGUGCACAUCAAGCUCCAUGUAUGAGGAUGGCUCCAGUCCCUCCAGCAAGCCUCCGAGACCAUCCUUGGCUGACGAGGACAUCUCUGCUGUGCUGCCACAAAGCAAUCAAGAAACCAGAGAAAGACAGAGGAAAGUUAAAGACCAAGACUCUUGAAACCCUCUUUAGAGGAGUUUGAAGAAAUUAUGGAACAUUAAUCUUGUUGUUGUUUUACCGCUAAAAAAUGUGUUGUAAGAGGGUUUUUCCUAACUGCCAUUUUAAUUUUGAUGAAACUGUGAUCUGGAGAAAUCAAUGAGAUAUCUUUGGCAAAAAGUGAAAUAAAUUUCACUCUCCAUUG